AUUGAACGCUGGCGGCAUGCCUUACACAUGCAAGUCGAACGGCAGCGGGCCUUCGGGUGCCGGCGAGUGGCGAACGGGUGAGUAAUGCAUCGGAACGUGCCAUUGAGUGGGGGAUAACGUAGCGAAAGUUGCGCUAAUACCGCAUAUUCUGUGAGCAGGAAAGCAGGGGACCGCAAGGCCUUGCGCUCUUUGAGCGGCCGAUGUCAGAUUAGCUAGUUGGUGAGGUAAAGGCUUACCAAGGCGACGAUCUGUAGCGGGUCUGAGAGGAUGAUCCGCCACACUGGAACUGAGACACGGUCCAGACUCCUACGGGAGGCAGCAGUGGGGAAUUUUGGACAAUGGGGGCAACCCUGAUCCAGCCAUGCCGCGUGAGUGAAGAAGGCCUUCGGGUUGUAAGCUCUUUCGGUCCGGGAAGGAAAUACGCAUGGGUGAAUACCCUGUGUGGAGUGACGGUACCGGAACAAGAAGACACCGGCUAACUACGUGCC
RNAcentral lists this ribosomal RNA (488 nucleotides) under uncultured bacterium. Its description in RNAcentral is "bacterial SSU rRNA". It matches the Rfam family "Bacterial small subunit ribosomal RNA", at positions 30 to 509 of the family's 1533-position model. The record is from RNAcentral.